ACGUUCUCGGGAAGCCAAACGACGAUCAGCCGGUUGCUUGAGCAUGGAUUCUGAGCAAGGGAAGCAAGUCACCUCACGCAUCCUGCAGGGACGUACCUGCUGCUACUCGUUUGUGGACCACGGCUCCCCUGAACGAGGCUACAGAUUCUCCGCCAGGAGCUGCUUCUCCACGCCUGCGUGAUUGGCACAUCCAGCAGACAGACCUUCAGCCUUGCAUCAGCUGAGCCUGCCUGGGCUCCAUCUGCCAGUGGGGAGACACCUGAGCGUUGCUCCCAUCUCCUGCCUACACAUAAAAUAAACCCACUGCAAAGCUAUCAGUCUACCAUCAUGAGCAAUUAUGUGGAAACUAGUCUGUCGAUGGCGAAGUCACGUGGUCACAGUAUCCGAGUUCCUGUUGUGUGCAGAACUGCACUGGAUGUAAUAAAGGUAUUAAAACUAAAUACCGAGACGGGGUCUCUGUUCUCAAAAUGUUUGGGUGACAAGAUGAUGUGUGGAAAGCAUCUGUUAUGUAACAUGGGAGGUUUCUGUAUUGCACAAAAUGAGUGUAAAGUGUUGGGGUAUUGUCGAGAAUGAAUGAUUUUGUUGGGUUAAUGAUGAAAAUGACACCAUUUCCAGUCAUUAUUGAAUCUUACUAACAUCCGUGACUGGUAAAAUCAUUUAGCUUUCAAGUUUGAUUCUAAAAUAUAAGUCUUAGAUGUUCACUGUGAUACUUCUCGUAAAAUACUAAUAACUUUUAUCAAUCACAGUAACUUUUUUUUUUUACUUUUACAGCUAUGCUAAGUCAUCCUGAACCUAUCCUGAAGUCUGGUAGAAUGGUCAGGGAAAGAGAAACACCCCCAUUUUUAGUAUUAGAUUCUUUUUAGCUGUAUUUUAAAACUGAAGCACAGUGACCUAUUGGUUUAUUGCAGCUUUCCACUGGUCCCAUCAAUAGUCUUGUUAAGAAAGUUCAUCUUAUAUUACAUUUAUGUUUAAGCUAUGCAUUGUUUGAGAUUUUUGAGCAUAAAUUUGAAGUGUUUCUUUACUGUUGAGCCGCAUCCUAUAAAGAAUCGGGAGGCUGCAUGGUAUCCCAAGGUGCUUUGUCUUUUUUUUUUUUUUUUUUGCGGUACGUGGGCCUCUAACUGUUGUGGCCUCUCCCGUUGCGGAGCACAGGCUCCGGACGCGCAGGCUCAGCGGCCAUGGCUCACGGGCCCAGCCCCUCCGUGGCAUGUGGGAUCUUCCUGGACCAGGGCACGAACCCGUGUCCCCUGCAUCGGCAGGCAGACUCUCAACCACUGUGCCACCAGGGAAGCCCGGUGCUUUAUCUUUUGAAGAAAGUAUCAUAAAGGAAUGUGUUUAAAGUUCCUAGUUGAACAUUUGCAGGAAAGUUUCUGAAUUUCCAUCUAAGAAUCCUCACAAGAUAGGGGUUAACUUUUCCAUUGUAGGGAACAGAGUCUCACUCAGAUCACUGCAGGGUAACUGGAGCUUUAUCUUGAGGAUUCAUGUUCACGAUAAUGAGACAAACCCCAUGAAGGCUGCAGAAGCAGAACCUGGGGGUCUGAGCACUCUGAGAUGUAGCUUCUUACUGCGUCUGCUUCUUCCCACACUUCUCCUCUUCCUUUCUCUUCUCUACCUUGGAGUGUCUGCUUAGAAAGGCAGUAAAGUUUUUAAAGUGUUGUCUUUAUGGCUAGAUCGACUGUGUUAAGGUCUUUGGUCAUGUAUUAGCGCGUCACCUCAUCUUCUGCGUGGCUCCCUAACCUAUAACAUGUCUGCCUCGUGAAGGUAAAAUAAUGUCCUGACACACGGUUCAGUCCCAGUGUCCUUGUUCGUGUCCUCGUCAUCUGUUUUGUAUAAACUGCUCGUGGGUAUCGUGGGUACACGUGUACCUCAUGGCGUGCUUAUUUGAGCUCCAGGUACCAACUGUGCCCCUCGCUCAAGGUUUCCUAUUCAGAUUCCCAAGGGAGGACUUGGACCAGCUCGUCAGGGCUGCGUCCUGAGUCACACAUGUCUCUGCAUUGGCUGGUGCUCCCCUUGCAGAAGGCAGUCUGCUCCGGAGCUGCGUCAGAGAGAUCAUCGUGCAGAGUGUCACGUGCUCUCCACCGUCACCGAUCACACCUGCUUCUCACCCUUCUUCAUCCUCUGAUAGCAAGCAUGACUGGCCAGUGAAGAGGGACGGCUCCUAGGCCAUGUGAACAGAAAGCUGUUCACAACUCUGCUUAGAGAAGGAGCUCUCUGACCUUUAGAAGAGGCUGGAGAAUCUUCCAGGGGAGAGAAGUUUGAGAAGCUCCAGCUAGAGGAACAUUUAAGUUUUCCAGCCCCUACCAAGUAGACUAACGACAACAGCUUUCGGGGAAACAUCCAAGAUUUCUGGAUCCUUCCAUGGAUCUUUAAGGUACAUAUGGGGAGAAGUGAGUGUUUGACCAGAGAUCACAGGACAUGGAAUCAAAGAAACUAAGGGUUGAGUCCUGACCCUCUCCACACUGUUUCAGCUUCCUGCCCACCCCUGG
Molecule: long non-coding RNA, 2483 nt
Organism: Lagenorhynchus albirostris (white-beaked dolphin)
Lineage: Eukaryota; Metazoa; Chordata; Mammalia; Artiodactyla; Delphinidae
Exons: 5
Source: RefSeq, a predicted model, not a curated record